This 1808-nucleotide small RNA is filed under the name Pan troglodytes (chimpanzee). RNAcentral describes it as "retained intron". Lineage: Eukaryota; Metazoa; Chordata; Mammalia; Primates; Hominidae. The record is from RNAcentral.
UUUCGAUGCAACAGUUUCUUUUUAUUGACAUAACCAAGAUAUUUUAACGUUCAAAAUGAAAGUAAAUACAAUGAAAUGGCAGUUUGCAGUCAGCCUGUUUCUCCUAGAUCUUGUAAAAUUGACUUAAAAGAUUACAUGGAGAGUGAUCUCAUUUGUUUUUAAAAUACCAUUUGUAUUUGUACUUAAGGAUAUAAAUAAGUGGAUUGGAAAGGUACACAACAAAUUAAACGCUCACUUUUGGAAAGCUGUCAACCAAGAAGGGUAGAACUGAAACAGUCAGAGGACUUUCUCUAGGUACUUGGAUUUGUUUCCAUUUUUAGCAGCCCUAUAGGAAAGUACGUGUGUCCCUUCUGAAGAUGGUAUACAUCAGCUUCACGUUCCAGAAUAAAGAAAUAUUUACAGAGUAGUAUGCCCCCUCUCCUUCCUUCUUGAGGAUUGAUCUCAUUGCUCGUUUGUCUUUCUCAGUUUGAAAUUGUUCCUGAAGAUGACCCCCAGAAUGCCAUUGUCAGCUCUUCCGCAGAUGCUUGUCAUGCAGAACUGCUCAGGACUAUAAGCGCUACUAUGUAAGUUGACCAAAAGCUUGAAAACAGGCUAAAAGAUCACUGUUGGUACAGUGAAACCUUUUCUCUUGCUUUUAAUGGGUGGAGAUACCUUAUUUUAUAGAAACCUAUCCUGGAUCCUCCUGACAUUGUGCCAACUAGAGCCUCCACAUUAUCAAAGUCAGGAAAGCUUAUCCUGUUUGUUCAUACCACUAUUCUGUUCUUAAACCCAUCUUCAUCUCCCGCUAAGCUCUCAAACUAAAAUUAUCCCUCUCCUGUUUAGGGGGAAACUAAUGCCUAACCUGCUUCCAGCUGGAGCUGACUUUUUUGGAUUUUCUCAUCCAGCCAUCCACAACCUGAUCCAGAGCUGUCCAGGAGCUCGAAAAUGCAUCAAGUAAGUGUGGUCAAAUUCAUUCCCUUGAGAAAAGCUCAGUGAUCAUCCGGCCAGGGACUGGCAGUUCCUACUUUGUUCACUGACCUUCUGUGUCCAAAGCCUGCCUGCUUCUCGACCAGUAGGGCUCAGUAUUGGCCCCCUUAGCCCGCUGGACAGGUAAGCAAGAGCCAGGACUCCACUGUUCGCUGAUUAUUACUAUUUUCUGUAUGUACCAUGACAGCAAAAGGGGUGGGAAAUCUAGCAGAAUAAUUUGUCACUAAAGAGGCCUGCUUAUUUCUUCUAGGUUUUUGUUAGCAAAUAUGUGUUUUAGAUAUAUAUGGGCUGAAUAUAAAGAAAAAUUACCUGAUCCCUUUAGUGAUAGGAAUGGGUACUUAUGUCUAGCAGAUAACUCUCAAGGGUGAUUUCCCUUGAUUCUGCAGUUACCAGUGGGUGAAAUUUGAUGUGUGCAAACCUGGAGAUGGGCAGCUACCUGAGGGGCUGCCGGAGAAUGAUGCAGCUAUGAGCUUUGAAGCCUUUCAGAGACAGAUCUUUGAUGAAGAUCAGAAUGAUCCCCUUCUGCCAGGAUCCUUGGACCUCCCAGAGCUUCACCCUGCAGCCUUUGUGUCUUCUUACCAGCCCAUGUACCUGACACAUGAACCCUUGGUAGAUACUCACCUGCAGCACUUGAAGUCUCCAUCACAGGGUAGCCCAAUUCAGUCUUCAGAUUGAACAAGAAGGGAUCAGAUGCCACAUCAUUUUUGUCGUGAUUAAUUUAACUUAAACUAAAAUUUUGGGUAUAUGGAAGAAGGCAGCAAUUGAGAAGUAAAGAAGAUAUUAACGUAUUUCAUCAUGGAGGGUCCUGUGGUGAUGGUUUUCCCUGGGAAAACCUUCAGCUG